GAAUUUUGGACAAUGGGCGAAAGCCUGAUCCAGCAAUGCCGCGUGCAGGAUGAAGGCCUUCGGGUUGUAAACUGCUUUUGUACGGAACGAAAAGCUUUGGGUUAAUAGCCAGGAGUCAGGACGGUACCGUAAGAAGAAGCACCGGCCAACUAAGAGCAAGAAGCCGCGGUAAUACGUAGGGUGCAAGCGUUAAUCGGAAUUAAUGGGCGUAAAGCGUGCGCAGGCGGUUUUGUAAGACAGAGGUGAAAUCCCCGGGCUCACCCUGGGAACUGCCUUUGUGACUGCAAGGCUAGAGUACGGCAGAGGGGGGUGGAAUUCCGCGUGUAGCAGUGAAAUGCGUAGAUAUGCGGAGGAACACCGAUGGCGAAGGCAACCCCCUGGGCCUGUACUGACGCUCAUGCACGAAAGCGUGGGGGGCAAACA
This 423-nucleotide ribosomal RNA is filed under the name uncultured bacterium. RNAcentral's name for it is "partial 16S ribosomal RNA". It matches the Rfam family "Bacterial small subunit ribosomal RNA", at positions 359 to 774 of the family's 1533-position model. The record is from RNAcentral.